RNAcentral lists this ribosomal RNA (164 nucleotides) under Quercus ilex. RNAcentral describes it as "5.8S ribosomal RNA". It matches the Rfam family "5.8S ribosomal RNA". Rfam says of the family: 5.8S ribosomal RNA (5.8S rRNA) is a component of the large subunit of the eukaryotic ribosome. It is transcribed by RNA polymerase I as part of the 45S precursor that also contains 18S and 28S rRNA. The record is from RNAcentral. Lineage: Eukaryota; Viridiplantae; Streptophyta; Magnoliopsida; Fagales; Fagaceae.
AAAACGACUCUCGGCAACGGAUAUCUAGGCUCUCGCAUCGAUGAAGAACGUAGCGAAAUGCGAUACUUGGUGUGAAUUGCAGAAUCCCGCGAAUCAUCGAGUUUUUGAACGCAAGUUGCUCCCGAAGCCAUUCGGCCGAGGGCACGUCUGCCUGGGUGUCACGC